ACACUGGUGGCAUGCUUAACACAUGCUAGUUGGACAAGAAAUGGUGUUUCCAAUGGUGGACAAGUGAGGAAUAUAUAAGAACCUACCCUGGGGAGUGGAACAAGAGCUGGAAAUGGCUACUAAUACCCUAUAGGUUAAGGAGCAAAAGGAGGAAUCUGCAUAAGGAGGGACUCGCAUCUAAUUAGCUAGUUAGUGAGGUAAUAGUUUACCAAGGUGAUGAUCAAUAGCUCGUCCGAGAGGAUGAUCGGCUACACUGGACUGAGACACGACCUAAACUCCUACAAGAGGCAGUAGUGGGGAAUUUUAUGCAAUAGGUGAAAGCCUAAAGGAGCAAUGAUGCAUGGAGGUAGAAGGCUUACGAAUGGUGAACUUCUUUUCUCAGAGAAAAAGCAAUGAUAAUAUCUAGGGAAUAAACAUUAACUAACUUUUUGCCAACAACCACUUUAAGUCCACCUUCAAAUCCAUGGGCUCAAACCUAGACAUGUGAUGGAAACUACCAAGCUUGAGUAUGGUAAGGGCAAAGGGAAUUUCCAGUGAAGCGGUGAAAUUCAUAUAGAUUGAAAAGAACACCAAUGGCAAAAGCACUUUGCUGGGCCAACAUUGACACUGAAAGAUAAAUGGUAAGGGAAUGAAUGGGAUUAGAUACCUAGUAGUCCUAGUUGUAAAUGAUGGAUACUAGGCACUAUGCAUAUCGACUUGUGUAGUGUUGUAGCUAACACGUUAAGUAUUCCGUUUGGGGAGUAUGUUCAUAAGAAUGAAACUCAAAGGAAUUGAAAGGGGCCCACAUAAGUGAUGGAGCAUGUGGUUUAAUUUGAUGCAAAGUGAAUAACCUUACUAGGGCUUUGACAUGCCACAAAUCCUCUUGAAAGAUAGGGGUACCUUCAGGAACAUGGACACAGAUGGUGCAUGUCUAUUGUCAGCUCAUGCCAUAAGGUGUUCGGUUAAGUCCCACAAUGAGUGCAACCCUCAUGUUUAGUUGCCACCAUUGAGUUUGGAACCUGAGCGGACUGUCGAUGAUAAGUCGAAGGAAGGUGAGGAUGACAUCAAGUCUCAUGUCCUUAUGCAACUCAUAUGCAUGAAGCUAGAAUUGCAAAUAAUCACUAGUUACCUAUAUAGUGGUGAAUUUGUUCCCAAGCCUUGUACACACUGCUUAUCACAUUAUAAAAGUUGGCCAUGCUCGAAGUUGUUACCUUAAACAUAAGGAGGGGGGUGUCGAAGGUAGGGCUAGUGACUAGAAUGAAGUCGUAACAAGGUAGCUGUAUUGGAAGGUGUAAUUG
RNAcentral lists this ribosomal RNA (1277 nucleotides) under Casuarina glauca (swamp oak). RNAcentral describes it as "bacterial SSU rRNA". It matches the Rfam family "Bacterial small subunit ribosomal RNA". The record is from RNAcentral. Lineage: Eukaryota; Viridiplantae; Streptophyta; Magnoliopsida; Fagales; Casuarinaceae.